AGCAGCAGCCACGGGAAUACGAAGGGUGCAAGCGUUACUCGGAAUUACUGGGCGUAAAGCGUGCGUAGGUGGUGGUUUAAGUCCGUUGUGAAAGCCCUGGGCUCAACCUGGGAAUUGCAGUGGAUACUGGGUCACUAGAGUGUGGUAGAGGAUAGUGGAAUUUCCGGUGUAGCAGUGAAAUGCGUAGAGAUCGGAAGGAACAUCUGUGGCGAAGGCGACUAUCUGGGCCAACACUGACACUGAGGCACGAAAGCGUGGGGAGCAAACAGGAUUAGAUACCCGUGUAGUCCCUGUCUCUUAUAA
Molecule: ribosomal RNA, 303 nt
Filed under: uncultured bacterium
Lineage: Bacteria
Description: partial 16S ribosomal RNA
Rfam family: Bacterial small subunit ribosomal RNA
Source: RNAcentral